CACCAAACUUUAUCACAAUCGCGGGAAACCGUGAUAAGGGGAUCUCGAGUGCCAGCAUAUAAUUGUUGGCUGUCCAGAUGCUUAAAAAGCAUUUGUUAGCAAGGGCCGGGCAAGACCGGUGCCAGCCGCCGCGGUAACACCGGCGGCCCGAGUGGUAACCGUUAUUAUUGGGUCUAAAGGGUCUGUAGCCGGCCAAGUAAGUCCUUUGGGAAAUCUGGUAGCUCAACUAUCAGGCUGCCAGGGGAUACUGCUUGGUUUGGGACCGGGAGAGGGGAGAGGAACCUCAGGGGUAGGGGUGAAAUCUUGUGAUCCUUGAGGGACCACCAGUGGCGAAGGCGUCUCACCAGAACGGGUCCGACGGUAAGGGACGAAAGUUAGGGGCACGAACCGGAUUAGAUACCCGGGUAGUCCUAGCCGUAAACGAUGCUCGCUAGGUGUCAGUCACGGGGCGACCGUAAUUGGGGCCGUAGGGAAGCCGUGAAGCGAGCCACCUGGAAAGAAUGGCCGCAAGGUGGAAACUUAAAGGAAUUGGGGGGGGAAAGGGCGAAUUCGUUUAAACCUGCGGGACUAGUCCCUUUAGUGAGGGUUAUUUCUGAGCUUGGGGAAAUCUUGGUCAUAGUUGUUUUCCGGA
RNAcentral lists this ribosomal RNA (631 nucleotides) under uncultured Methanosaeta sp. RNAcentral's name for it is "bacterial SSU rRNA". It matches the Rfam family "Archaeal small subunit ribosomal RNA", at positions 340 to 965 of the family's 1478-position model. The record is from RNAcentral. Lineage: Archaea; Methanobacteriati; Methanobacteriota; Methanomicrobia; Methanotrichales; Methanotrichaceae.